Regulatory RNA element from Sphingomonas sp. SKA58, 111 nucleotides. It matches the Rfam family "ALIL pseudoknot". The record is from Rfam. NCBI's taxonomy places the organism in Bacteria, Pseudomonadati, Pseudomonadota, Alphaproteobacteria, Sphingomonadales, Sphingomonadaceae.
UGGUUAUUUGACCGUCCCCGACCGCCCGUUCAAACGAUGGCGGCCUUCAUAGACGAGCAUCGCGCGGAAUAUAGGGUCGAGCCGAUUUGCAGGGUUCUGCCAUUUGCCCCA